This 428-nucleotide ribosomal RNA is filed under the name uncultured bacterium. RNAcentral describes it as "partial 16S ribosomal RNA". The stretch from base 1 to 308 matches the Rfam family "Bacterial small subunit ribosomal RNA", at positions 228 to 538 of the family's 1533-position model. The record is from RNAcentral.
CGGCCGCGUCGACGGCAGUUGGCGGGGUAACGGCCCACCAAACCGACGAUGGAUAGGGGUUCUGAGAGGAAGGUCCCCNCCAUGUUAGUCNGANACGACGAACACUCCGAGGNGCAGCNGUGAAGAAUUGUUGACAGUCGCGAGCGUNUACGACGCACAGCGUGUAGGAAGUNUAGGAAGUCUAUAGUUGGUUAACUAACUUUNUUAGGAGAAUAGNGNUCAGUGCUUUAUUUGAUCGGUAACUGAUAAGACAUGUCCGAACUACCUCGGCACGAGACGCGCCCGGGUAAGUUAACGACGGGGAAGUGUCGGACGGACGGUUACUUUACCGGCCGGUUUAAAUUUUGGGUUUUAAAAGGGGGGUUUAACCGGUCGGGUAGGGGGACAAACGGGAACGGCCAAACCACGGGGGGAAGGGGUUAAAGUGG